Asparagus officinalis (garden asparagus) is the source of this 281-nucleotide long non-coding RNA. RefSeq lists it as uncharacterized. The record is from RefSeq and is a predicted model, not a curated record. NCBI's taxonomy places the organism in Eukaryota, Viridiplantae, Streptophyta, Magnoliopsida, Asparagales, Asparagaceae. The transcript has 2 exons.
UCAGCAGCAGCAGGCAGCAGCAGAUUUCGCUUCAUCAGUAUAUGGAGGGCAGCAUCAUCAGAGCCGGGAGUGACGACGGGAGGAGCGGAAUUGGGCCUGCUUCUUGAGAGUUUGAUUUUCCAGGAAUGCGGGAAAUUUUAAUUUCAACCAAUUGAUUUGUUCUUCCUCCUCCUACUCACUCCCGGCUGCUGAAGAUGCCGUCGAUGGUGGAUCUGGCUGCAGGCUUUGCUAUGAAAAAGCAAAACGAUAAGAAAAGGAGCUUUGUAGAAAUGGCGGGGGGG